UUAUAGUAAAAGCUGAAUCCAGUUGUAUGACAUUGGAGCGGGGGAUUAUCAUUGGGGUGAAUCACGUGGCUCUUUCACGUGUAGGGCUAACACCUACUGCCCGAAUCCGUCAACUAACCUCGUAAGCUAAGAAGGGUGGAUAU
Molecule: small RNA, 143 nt
Filed under: Peptococcaceae bacterium
Lineage: Bacteria; Bacillati; Bacillota; Clostridia; Eubacteriales; Peptococcaceae
Description: c-di-AMP sequence
Rfam family: c-di-AMP riboswitch aptamer (ydaO/yuaA leader)
About the family: This family represents a conserved RNA structure found upstream of the ydaO and yuaA genes in Bacillus subtilis and related genes in other bacteria. The ydaO/yuaA element is thought to act as a genetic "off" switch for the ydaO and yuaA genes in its native state. It is believed that the element may be triggered during osmotic shock leading to activation of ydaO, a predicted amino acid transporter gene, and members of the yuaA-yubG operon which code for KtrA and KtrB K+ transporters.
Source: RNAcentral